CUCCUACGGGGGGCAGCAGUGGGGAAUAUUGCACAAUGGGGGAAACCCUGAUGCAGCGACGCCGCGUGGGUGACGAAGUAUUUCGGUAUGUAAAGCCCUAUCAGCAGGGAAGAAGAUGACAGUACCUGACCAAGAAGCCCCGGCUAAAUACGUGCCAGCAGCCGCGGUAAUACGUAUGGUGCAAGCGUUAUCCGGAUUUACUGGGUGUAAAGGGAGCGCAGGCGGUGCGGCAAGUCUGAUGUGAAAGCCCGGGGCUCAACCCCGGGACUGCAUUGGAAACUACCGAACUGGAGUGUCGGAGAGGG
RNAcentral lists this ribosomal RNA (305 nucleotides) under uncultured bacterium. RNAcentral describes it as "bacterial SSU rRNA". It matches the Rfam family "Bacterial small subunit ribosomal RNA", at positions 336 to 658 of the family's 1533-position model. The record is from RNAcentral.